This 902-nucleotide small RNA is filed under the name Pan troglodytes (chimpanzee). RNAcentral's name for it is "processed transcript". Lineage: Eukaryota; Metazoa; Chordata; Mammalia; Primates; Hominidae. The record is from RNAcentral.
CCCACAGCUGCGUCCUCUCUGACCUUCGCGAUCCGGUGCGCGGCCCGCGGAACGCCCCGAUCUCCAGGAGCACGGAAGGCCGAGGCGUGCCGGGGGAGCCAGGAGCAGCUGGCUGGCGGGCGCCGCGGGCCUCCCCGGUCACGUGACACCCCGGGCAACGUGCGCCGUCACCUGACGGCGGAGCCUUGCUCGGCAAGGCCGUCCACUCCCUGUCCCGCAUCGGGGACGAGCUCUACCUGGAACCCUUGGAGGACGGGCUCUCCCUCCGGACGGUGAACUCCUCCCGCUCUGCCUAUGCCUGCUUUCUCUUUGCCCCGCUCUUCUUCCAGCAAUACCAGGCAGCCACCCCUGGUCAGGACCUGCUGCGCUGUAAGAUCCUGAUGAAGUCUUUCCUGUCUGUCUUCCGCUCACUGGCGAUGCUGGAGAAGACGGUGGAAAAAUGCUGCAUCUCCCUGAACGGCCGGAGCAGCCGCCUGGUGGUCCAGCUGCAUUGCAAGUUCGGUGAGUGGGCAGCCGGCCAGCCAAGGGGUGCCUCAGCAGGGAGGUCGGCGAGGCCCACUGAGACCCUAUCGCCUAUCCAGGGGUGCGGAAGACUCACAACCUGUCCUUCCAGGACUGUGAGUCCCUGCAGGCCGUCUUCGACCCAGCCUCGUGCCCCCACAUGCUCCGCGCCCCAGCACGGGUUCUGGGGGAGGCUGUUCUGCCCUUCUCUCCUGCACUGGCUGAAGUGACGCUGGGCAUUGGCCGUGGCCGCAGGGUCAUCCUGCGCAGCUACCACGAGGAGGAGGCAGACAGCACUGCCAAAGCCAUGGUGACUGAGAUGUGCCUUGGAGAGGAGGAUUUCCAGCAGCUGCAGGCCCAGGAAGGGGUGGCCAUCACUUUCUGCCUCAAGGAAUUCCGGG